Molecule: long non-coding RNA, 801 nt
Organism: Triticum urartu
Lineage: Eukaryota; Viridiplantae; Streptophyta; Magnoliopsida; Poales; Poaceae
Source: RefSeq, a predicted model, not a curated record
CCCCCUGAGUUCACUCUCUUCCCUCCAUCACCGAUCUGAGAGCUACCAUGCCACCCCGCGCUGCCACCUUUCUCCUCCCGGUCGACCUCCUGGAUCCGGCGCUCCUGUACAGAGCAGUGCCACCAUGCUGCACACUAGUCAGCAUUAGCGCCCCUCUUCCUCCAUGCUGUUGCUGCCCUCUUCCUCCAUGCUGCUGCUGCCUUCGACUCUGCCCCCGCACUCCGUAGCCUCCGCAUUGAGCUGCCCUCUCCUUCAACUGGCAGUGCACACAAGAUAUUUGUGUAUAUGCCUCAAACAAAAAAGUGUGUUUUCUUUUUCAUGGACAAAUCAAUGCAGCGUCAUGGACUCAUCUUCUAUAGCACAUAAGUAGGCGUGCAUGCUAGAUUGGUUCCUUCCACUACCUAGCUGAUGUUGUUUGUACCCAGACUACCCACAGUGCCUGAUGAAGCUUCAAGACCGCAAAUAGACAAGCCCAUGGAGAAACAACAUCCUUGUGUAUCUUGAGAUGCUGCAUCACUUGAUGGAACGAGAUAUGGUGUCGGGAACACAGCAGGAUUAGCAAGUAAUUUUGAGAGUAAUCUUGUAUGCGCCCUGAGCUCAGUUUGCGUCGCGAUAAAUUGUUUUCAACAUGUAAUACAUUUUUUCGCCACGUGCCAGGUGAGAUGGCGAACUGGGUGUGCUUUUUGUGUUUGCGUUGUGUGGGACCGUGGGAGAGUGAUUUUUGUUUAGAAGGUUCAGAGUUCUAUUGGGUUAAGGCGAACUCAGCUUAUCAUACAGUCUUGUUCAAACCGUGAUUUUUCU